AAUUUCCAGUAUGUUUUUUUUUUUUUAAUAGAAAAGUAUCAAAGGAAAUAAAAAAAAAAAACAUACUGGAAAUUAAUGAAGAAGAAAAACAAAAGAGGGAAAAAGAAACGACUGCCUGGAAGGUUAUACUAUAUAACGAUGAUAUUCAUAAUUUUACACAUGUAACUGAUGUUAUAGUAAAAGUAAUAGAACAUAUAAGCAAGGCGAAGGCACAUACAAUCACAGUUAAAGCCCACAGUACAGGGCAAGCUCUUAUCUGUUCAACUUGGAAGGCACAAGCAGAAAAGUAUUGUGAAGGUAACACAAAAAAAAAUUAUACAUUUGAAAUACAAAAUAUAUAUAAAUUAUCUGUAAAUUAUUUAUAUAUAAAAUGACAACUUUUACUAAGUACUUUUUUUUGUAUGUACAAACAAAUAAGCUUCGUAUAUUUUUUACACACUUUUUUUUAAUUUCCAGAACUGCAGAAGAAUGGAUUAACAGUUUCUAUUAUACAUGAGAGUCAAUUAAAAAGUACAAAAAAUAAAUCAGACACAAAAAUAUAG
This 542-nucleotide long non-coding RNA is filed under the name Piliocolobus tephrosceles (Ugandan red Colobus). Its description in RNAcentral is "lncRNA (ENSPTEG00000003344.1)". The record is from RNAcentral. Lineage: Eukaryota; Metazoa; Chordata; Mammalia; Primates; Cercopithecidae.